GAUGAACGCUGGCGGCGUGCCUAAUACAUGCAAGUCGAGCGAACGGACGAGAAGCUUGCUUUUCUGAUGUUAGCGGCGGACGGGUGAGUAACACGUGGAUAACCUACCUAUAAGACUGGGAUAACUUCGGGAAACCGGAGCUAAUACCGGAUAAUAUUUUGAACCGCAUGGUUCAAUAGUGAAAGACGGUUUUGCUGUCACUUAUAGAUGGAUCCGCGCCGCAUUAGCUAGUUGGUAAGGUAACGGCUUACCAAGGCAACGAUGCAUAGCCGACCUGAGAGGGUGAUCGGCCACACUGGAACUGAGACACGGUCCAGACUCCUACGGGAGGCAGCAGUAGGGAAUCUUCCGCAAUGGGCGAAAGCCUGACGGAGCAACGCCGCGUGAGUGAUGAAGGUCUUCGGAUCGUAAAACUCUGUUAUUAGGGAAGAACAUAUGUGUAAGUAACUGUGCACGUCUUGACGGUACCUAAUCAGAAAGCCACGGCUAACUACGUG
This 497-nucleotide ribosomal RNA is filed under the name uncultured bacterium. Its description in RNAcentral is "partial 16S ribosomal RNA". It matches the Rfam family "Bacterial small subunit ribosomal RNA", at positions 28 to 507 of the family's 1533-position model. The record is from RNAcentral.